RNAcentral lists this ribosomal RNA (2058 nucleotides) under candidate division WS6 bacterium GW2011_GWA2_37_6. RNAcentral's name for it is "partial 23S ribosomal RNA". It matches the Rfam family "Bacterial large subunit ribosomal RNA", at positions 885 to 2887 of the family's 2925-position model. The record is from RNAcentral.
GGAAGUAACUAGUGGAGGUAGAGCUCUGAUUGGGUAGUAGGUCCCUUUAUGGGAUACUGCACUCUCUCAAACUACGAAUGCCAUUAGUGUAAUCCAGGGAGUUAGACUGCGGGAUAUAAGUUCCGUUAGUCGAGAGGGAAACAGCCCAGAUCAUCAGUUAAGGUCCCUAAGCCAUGCUAAGUGGAAAAGGAGGUGAAAUUUCUCAGACAGCCAGGAGGUUUGCUCAGAGGCAGCAAUCCUUUAAAGAGUGCGUAACAGCUCACUGGUCAAGAGAUCUUGCGCCGAUAAUUCAACGGGGCUCAAGCAUGGUACCGAAACUAUGAUUCUUAUGUCCCACACUAAAAACCUAAAAUCAGCAAAAAUGUCUGGUAUAUUUGGGUUCUUAGUGUGGGGCAUAGGGAGGUAGGAGAGCGUUCUAUAUGCAGUGAAGUUUUACCGUAAGGUGAAGUGGAGCGUAUAGAAGUGAGAAUGCAGGCAUGAGUAGCGAAAUUCAGGUGAAAAACCUGAACACCGGAAGCUCAAGGUUUCCUUAGCUAUGUUAGUCAACUAAGGGUUAGUCGGUCCUAAGCCGAGGCCGAAAGGCGUAGGCGAUGGACAUGCCGUUAAUAUUCGGCAACUGGUUGAUAUUCGUUAUUAGCUAUGGGGGGAACGAUUUGGAGACGAUGGAGUCCCGAGAGGUCGGGAUUUAAACAGCAAAUUUAGCUCGAUUUGGCAAAUCCGAUCGGGCGAAAACCUCUGCCAUUGGUAGGGGAAGAAAUGAGCUGUUAUGAAAAGCUGAUGCUACGGCUGAGGCAAUUCUAUCAAUUCGAGUCGCGAGAAAAACCUCUAUGUGAGAAUAUCAAACAACCGUACCGCANNNNNNNNNGUAUACCAAGGUGACCGAGCGAGGCUCUGUUAAGGAAUUCGGCAAAUUACACCCGUAACUUCGGGAAAAGGGUGGCCAUUUUAGCUCUGCGUAAGCAGAAAUCUAAGGUGGUUGCAGUAAAAUAGCUCAAGCGACUGUUUAACAAAAACACAGGUACCUGCUAAAGCGCAAGCUGAUGUAUAGGUGCUGACGCCUGCCCAAUGCUAGAAGAUCACGGAAGGGGGUUACCUCGAUUUAUCGAGGGAAGCUUCCAACUUAAGUCCUAGUCAAUGGCGGCUGUAACUAUAACGGUCCUAAGGUAGCGAAGUUCCUNNNNNNNNNNNNNNNNNNNNNNNNNNNNNNGCGAACAUUGAAAUGGCUGUGAAGAUGCGGCCUACCCACACCAGGACAAAAAGACCCCGGGAUCUUUACUACAGCUUGUCAUUGAGAUAAAGUUGUUGAUGUAGAGCGUAGGAGGGAGACUUUGAAACCCCGAUGCAAGUUGGGGUGGAGUCGCCAAUGUAACACCUCCCUUUGAUAAUUUUGUUUCUAACUUCUACAGUUACCCUGUAGGAAAACAGUGUCAGGUAGGUAGUUUGACUGGGGCGGUUUCUUACUAAAGUGUAACGUAAGAUUUCAAAGGUCGACUCAGGCUGGAUGGAAAUCAGCCGGAGAGCAUAAUGGUAUAAGUCGGCUUUACUGUAAGACUGACAGGUCGAGCAGUUACGAAAGUAGGACAUAGUGACCCUUAAGUAGCGCGUGGUAGCGCUUUUGAUUACAGGAUAAAAGUUACCCCGGGGAUAACAGGCUAGUCUUGCCCGAGCGUUCAAAGCGGCGGCAAGGUUCGGCACCUUAAAAUUGAUAUUGCGAUGUCGGCUCGUCACAUCCUGGGGCUGUACAAGGUCCCAAGGGUUGGGCUGUUCGCCCAUUAAAGUGGCACGCGAGCUGGGUUCAAACCGACGUGAGUCAGGUUGGUCUCUAUCCGGUGUGGGCGUAGUAACCUUGAGGGAAUUGGCCCCUAGUACGAGAGGAUCGGGGCGAGGUAACCUCUAGUGCACCAGUUGUUCCACCAGGAGCAUAGCUGGGUAGCUACGUUGCUAUUAGGAUAAGCGCUGAAAGCAUAUAAGCGCGAAGCCUCUCCCAAGAUAAGGGUUACUGGUUCCCCAGAAGAUAACUGGGUUGAUAGGCUCUAGGUGUAAGCACCGCAAGGUGUG